This 204-nucleotide ribosomal RNA is filed under the name Alvinocaris sp. nwe1. RNAcentral describes it as "partial 18S ribosomal RNA". It matches the Rfam family "Eukaryotic small subunit ribosomal RNA", at positions 1665 to 1829 of the family's 1831-position model. The record is from RNAcentral. Lineage: Eukaryota; Metazoa; Arthropoda; Malacostraca; Decapoda; Alvinocarididae.
CACACCGCCCGUCGCUACUACCGAUUGAAUGAUUUAGUGAGGCCUUCGGACUGGCGGUCUUGGACUGGGCUCCACUCGCCAUCACCCCAGCAAUGGGGGGCGGUGGACUCGCCAUGACGAGCCGGAAAGAUGUCCAAACUUGAUCAUUUAGAGGAAGUAAAAGUCGUAACAAGGUUUCCGUAGGUGAACCUGCGGAAGGAUCAU